CCCGCCCCUCCACCGAGCCAGGCCGCGGCGCCGCCCCUCCACGCUCGGCUCGGCGCACGCAGUCACACACUAGCAGACAGCGGCAGUGGAAAGAGAGGAGUGAGAAGCAGAAGAAGAACAAGAACAGGAGAGAAGACCCGGAUGAGAGAGAGAGAGGAAAGACGAGAGGGAAAGGUAAUAUGACCUCCUUCAAGUUGAUCCAUAAAGUACAUAUUUAAAAGGAAGGGAUAUUGUACAGCAGAAUAGCUUCUGAAAUCUGAACUACUAUAGAAGUGUACAGUUUUGACAGAGCGCUUGCUUCUAGCCAAUGCACUAGUGUACGUAUCACUGAAUAUACAAUACUCAUCAUUUAUGUAAUAACCAGCUUUGGAAAGAAUGUACAUACCUGAGAAAGAAUCGAUGACUUUUCUAGUUUCAACAAAUUAACAUUAUUCUGAA
Triticum aestivum (bread wheat) is the source of this 438-nucleotide long non-coding RNA. RefSeq lists it as uncharacterized. NCBI's taxonomy places the organism in Eukaryota, Viridiplantae, Streptophyta, Magnoliopsida, Poales, Poaceae. The record is from RefSeq and is a predicted model, not a curated record. The transcript is spliced from 2 exons.